Long non-coding RNA from Gasterosteus aculeatus aculeatus (three-spined stickleback), 664 nucleotides. NCBI's taxonomy places the organism in Eukaryota, Metazoa, Chordata, Actinopteri, Perciformes, Gasterosteidae. The record is from Ensembl.
GUGUAUUUGAAAACACAGACCCCUGAGUGGAAAAAGGUCUUCAUUUUCUUUAUUUAUCUGAUGUCAUAUGAAUAGGUGAUGAAUGUUACUGUUUUUGAGAAUGCCUCCUUGCUGCUCCCCGGAGAAACCUUCCUCAGCAGCCACAUACGCCUGUUGCCCAAUGUUCUCAGCCUGAUCCUGCGAUUCCCCGUCAAUGUCUACGUCCUGCAGAUUAUAAUGUCGCGAAACAUGUUCACCUCGGAGUUCUACUCUUUCAAACAGGCCCUUUUUGAAGUUAUGUGCUUCUACGACUUUUUGGGAGUGGUCUUCUUUGUGUCCCCGAACUGGUAUUUGUGGAAAAUCCAGCACUUUUUCCUGGGAUUCAUAAUGACGGCUCGCCCGUGUCUCCUGGCGUUGAUUUGCGUGGAGCGCUACCUGGCAGUGGUUAAACCUGUGGCCUUCCUGAGGAUGAAGUCACUGAAGUACAAACUGGCCAUGUCAGCGAUUAUCUGGUUGUGGACUGUGACUACUGGCGUGUGCAUCUUGGUGUUGACGGAUUUUAAAAACGGUCUUGUGUGGCAGAUCGCUGUGUGUUGCAUAGUGAACCUUUACUGUUGCAUCGCUACCCUUCACGCACUGAGACGGCCCGGUCCAGGAGAAGGGCCCAGGCAGAGAGAGGGGAUGA